Non-coding RNA from Schistosoma mansoni, 45 nucleotides. The record is from Rfam. Lineage: Eukaryota; Metazoa; Platyhelminthes; Trematoda; Strigeidida; Schistosomatidae.
GCACUGCUGAGGAUUCCACAAUAGGACGAAACGGUCGUCCAGUGC